Molecule: signal recognition particle RNA, 265 nt
Filed under: Pseudothermotoga thermarum DSM 5069
Lineage: Bacteria; Thermotogati; Thermotogota; Thermotogae; Thermotogales; Thermotogaceae
Description: Thermotoga thermarum DSM 5069 Bacterial large signal recognition particle RNA
Rfam family: Bacterial large signal recognition particle RNA
About the family: The signal recognition particle (SRP) is a universally conserved ribonucleoprotein involved in the co-translational targeting of proteins to membranes. Archaeal SRP consists of a 7S RNA and homologues of the eukaryotic SRP19 and SRP54 proteins. In most bacteria, the SRP consists of a 4.5S RNA and the Ffh protein (a homologue of the eukaryotic SRP54 protein).
Source: Rfam by way of RNAcentral
CCACGAUAGGCGGGGGGCUGGCGGUCCCCUGUACCCGAAAUCCGCCAUACGCGGGGCCGAACUCCCACCCGAGGCGGCCUAUGUCGGGAAACAGUUCGUGCCGAAGGCGAUGAAGGCUGGGUCCUGUGCAACGGUGCGCCGUGAACCUGGUCAGGUCCGGAAGGAAGCAGCCAUAAGCGGUUGCACCGUGUGCCGCAGGAGUGCCUGGCUGGAGCUGGAGGCACGAAUAUGCCCCGGUUUAGGUUUGUCGACGGUGGGUUCGUGG